GUCGAUUCCUGUCCCUCGAGGUGGUUCCCUGGGGGCACGAUGAUGGCGGAUCUGAGUUGAC
Molecule: microRNA precursor, 61 nt
Organism: Bos indicus x Bos taurus (hybrid cattle)
Lineage: Eukaryota; Metazoa; Chordata; Mammalia; Artiodactyla; Bovidae
Source: Ensembl